CCUACGGGAGGCAGCAGUAGGGAAUCUUCCACAAUGGGCGAAAGCCUGAUGGAGCAACGCCGCGUGGGUGAAGAAGGUCUUCGGAUCGUAAAACCCUGUUGUUAGAGAAGAAAGUGCGUGAGAGUAACUGUUCACGUUUCGACGGUAUCUAACCAGAAAGCCACGGCUAACUACGUGCCAGCAGCCGCGGUAAUACGUAGGUGGCAAGCGUUAUCCGGAGUUAUUGGGCGUAAAGGGAACGCAGGCGGUCUUUUAAGUCUGAUGUGAAAGCCUUCGGCUUAACCGGAGUAGUGCAUUGGAAACUGGGAGACUUGAGUGCAGAAGAGGAGAGUGGAACUCCAUGUGUAGCGGUGAAAUGCGUAGAUAUAUGGAAGAACACCAGUGGCGAAAGCGGCUCUCUGGGCUGUAACUGACGCUGAGGUUCGAAAGCGUGGGUAGCAAACAGGAUUAGAUACCCCAGUAGUC
This 465-nucleotide ribosomal RNA is filed under the name uncultured bacterium. Its description in RNAcentral is "partial 16S ribosomal RNA". It matches the Rfam family "Bacterial small subunit ribosomal RNA", at positions 338 to 795 of the family's 1533-position model. The record is from RNAcentral.